This 253-nucleotide ribosomal RNA is filed under the name uncultured bacterium. Its description in RNAcentral is "partial 16S ribosomal RNA". It matches the Rfam family "Bacterial small subunit ribosomal RNA", at positions 524 to 776 of the family's 1533-position model. The record is from RNAcentral.
UACGGAGGGUGCAAGCGUUGCUCGGAAUCACUGGGCGUAAAGCGCGUGUAGGCGGUCUCGUGUGUCUGGCGUGAAAGCCCCAGGCUCACCCUGGGAAGUGCGUCGGAAACUGCGAGACUAGAGUCCCGGAGAGGAAGGUGGAAUUCCAGGUGUAGCGGUGAAAUGCGUAGAUAUCUGGAAGAACACCGAUGGCGAAGGCAGUUUUCUGGUUCAAAACUGACGCUGAUGUACGAAAGCUAGGGGAGCGAACGGG